CAAUAGCGUAUAUUAAAGCUGUUGCGGUUAAAAAGCUCGUAGUUGGAUUUCUGUCAAGGACAACUGGUCCGCCCCUCGGGUGAGCACAUAGUUUGGUCUUGGCAUCUUGUUGGAAACUGUUGCUGCACUUGGUUGUGUGGCGCAGUGUCCAGCACUUUCACUUUGAGGAAAUUGGAGUGUUUCAAGCAGGCACAUGCCUUUGGACACAGUAGCAUGGAAUAAUUAGAUUGGGCUUUUGCUCCAACUUGUCGGUUUCUGGAGCUGAGGUGAGAAUUAAUGGGGAUUGUUGGGGGCAUCCGAAUUUAGCCGUCAGAGGUGAAAUUCUUGGAUCUGCUAAAGACGGACAACUGCGAAAGCGUUUGCCCAGGAUGCUUUCAUUGA
Molecule: ribosomal RNA, 381 nt
Filed under: uncultured eukaryote
Lineage: Eukaryota
Description: partial 18S ribosomal RNA
Rfam family: Eukaryotic small subunit ribosomal RNA
Source: RNAcentral